RNAcentral lists this ribosomal RNA (460 nucleotides) under uncultured bacterium. Its description in RNAcentral is "partial 16S ribosomal RNA". It matches the Rfam family "Bacterial small subunit ribosomal RNA", at positions 338 to 795 of the family's 1533-position model. The record is from RNAcentral.
CCUACGGGGGGCUGCAGUGAGGAAUAUUGGUCAAUGGCCGGAAGGCUGAACCAGCCAUGCCGCGUGAAGGUCAGUGCCCUAUGGGCGUUAAACUUCUUUUGUGCGGGAGCAAUAAUGGUCACGUGUGGCCAGACGAGAGUACCGUACGAAUAAGCAUCGGCUCACUCCGUGCCAGCAGCCGCGGUAAUACGGGGGAUGCAAGCGUUAUCCGGAUUUAUUGGGUUUAAAGGGUGCGUAGGCUGUGAGGUAAGUCAGCGGUGAAAUGCCCCCGCUCAACGGGGUGAAGUGCCAUUGAUACUGCCUGGCUGGAAUGCGGAUGCCGUGGGAGGAAUGUGUGGUGUAGCGGUGAAAUGCAUAGAUAUCACACAGAACACCGAUUGCGAAGGCAUCUCACGAAUCCGCGAUUGACGCUGAUGCACGAAAGCGUGGGUAUCAAACAGGAUUAGAUACCCGAGUAGUC